GGCUCAGGAUGAACGCUGGCGAGAUGCCUUACACAUGCAAGUCGUACGGGAAUUUUUAAUUCAAGUGGCGGACGGGUGAGUAACACGUAAGAAUUUGCCUUUAGGAGGGGGACAACAACUGGAAACGGUUGCUAAUACCCCAUAUGCUUUCGAGUGAAAUGGAUUUUUCCGCCUAAAGAGGAGCUUGCGGCUGAUUAGCUUGUUGGUGAGGUAAUGGCUCACCAAGGCGACGAUCAGUAUCUGGUUUGAGAGGAUGAUCAGACACACUGGAACUGAGACACGGUCCAGACUCCUACGGGAGGCAGCAGUGGGGAAUUUUCCGCAAUGGGCGAAAGCCUGACGGAGCAAUCUCGCGUGAGGGAUGACGGCCUAUGGGUUGUAAACCUCUUUUUUCAGGGAGGAACAAAAUGACGUGUACCUGAAGAAUAAGCAUCGGCUAACUCCGUGCCAGCAGCCGCGGUAAGACGGAGGAUGCAAGUGUUAUCCGGAAUCACUGGGCGUAAAGCGUCUGUAGGUGGUUUGAUAAGUCAACUGUUAAAUCUUGAAGCUCAACUUCAAAAUCGCAGUCGAAACUAUUAGACUAGAGUAUAGUAGGGGUAAAGGGAAUUUCCAGUGGAGCGGUGAAAUGCGUAGAUAUUGGAAAGAACACCGAUGGCGAAGGCACUUUACUGGGCUAUUACUGACACUCAGAGACGAAAGCUAGGGUAGCAAAUGGGAUUAGAUACCCCAGUAGUCCUAGCCGUAAACAAUGGAUACUAGAUGUUGAACAGAUCGACCUGUGCAGUAUUAAAGCUAACGCGUUAAGUAUCCCG
RNAcentral lists this ribosomal RNA (812 nucleotides) under uncultured bacterium. RNAcentral describes it as "bacterial SSU rRNA". It matches the Rfam family "Bacterial small subunit ribosomal RNA", at positions 21 to 871 of the family's 1533-position model. The record is from RNAcentral.